CAAUAGAAAUGGGCUCAAUAGCCCAUUUAAAACUUUUAAUAAGAGGACAGUGUUGUUGGAUCCUAAAGGGCCCAUCUUACUUUGUAACGGACCUUAUAGCCCUAAAGAACUUCAAACGGACGAAAAUAACCCUCUAGCUUCGCAAGGAUUAGGGUUUCCAAUUGCCAAAACCUUGUCGCCUAUAAAUAUCUAAGAGAGGGCAUAUUCAAUCGUCUUAAAAAUUUAUAUUAGAAAAUCUGGUCGAUUCUUGUCAAAUCGCCGAAAGAGGAAGAGAAGCUGUUUCAGAGAGCUUGAACCAAGAUGAGAGCUAAGUGGAAGAAGAAGCGCAUGAGAAGAUUGAAGAGGAAGCGCCGAAAGAUGAGGCAGAGAUCCAAGUAGGCAUGUGGAGUGGUACGAUAUGGGGUUCUUUCCUAGUGAUAUACUUUCAGCCUUCAGCCUAUGGUUCAUUAAAAUGAAUGACUGAAUGAUGUUCUAUAGGGGGAACUCGUUUUGUUUUCUGUGUUCUAGUUUUAGCUUUAGCAAUUGUUAUUGAGGAGACAGUGAUGUUUUCCGACUUGUGGGUUAAAUGUUUUUAAUCGUAUUUGACUUCUAUUUUAGUAUUGUUUUCAAAUGGAUGAAGAAUCUGCUUAAAAAAGUCCUAUUUCACUAUGAUCUAAUCCUUAAUAUAAUGUUCCUUGUAUUGAAAUGUGUAUGAUAAAUAUUUUUUUUA
This is a long non-coding RNA of Jatropha curcas, 709 nucleotides long. RefSeq lists it as uncharacterized. NCBI's taxonomy places the organism in Eukaryota, Viridiplantae, Streptophyta, Magnoliopsida, Malpighiales, Euphorbiaceae. The record is from RefSeq and is a predicted model, not a curated record.